RNAcentral lists this ribosomal RNA (1358 nucleotides) under uncultured marine eukaryote. Its description in RNAcentral is "SSU rRNA". It matches the Rfam family "Eukaryotic small subunit ribosomal RNA", at positions 411 to 1779 of the family's 1831-position model. The record is from RNAcentral.
CACUUCUAAGGAAGGCAGCAGGCGCGCAAAUUACCCAAUCCUGACUCAGGGAGGUAGUGACAAGAAAUAACAAUAAACCGGCUUAUGCCGGUUUAAUUGGAAUGAGUACAGUUUAAACAUCUUAACGAGGAACAAUUGGAGGGCAAGUCUGGUGCCAGCAGCCGCGGUAAUUCCAGCUCCAAUAGCGUAUACUAAAGUUGUUGCAGUUAAAAAGCUCGUAGUUGGAUUUCUGUGGGGACGGAGCGGCCGGCCGCACAUCGCGGUUCGAGCUAGCGCUUUCCCUACAUCCUGCCGCGAACCGUGCUACCAUUAGUUUGGUGGCGCCGGGGAUCGGCUCGAUUACUUUGAGAAAAAUAGAGUGUUCAAAGCAGGCCACAUGCCUUGAAUAAGUUAGCAUGGAAUAAUAACUAAGGACUUCGGUUCUAUUUUGUUGGUGUUCGGGACUGAAGUAAUGAUUGAUAGGGACAGUUGGGGCGGUCUGUAUUCCAAAGCGAGAGGUGAAAUUCUUAGACCUUCGGAAGACAAACAGCUGCGAAAGCGUUCCGCAAGGAUGUUCCCUUUGAUCAAGAACGAAAGUUGGGGGAUCGAAGACGAUCAGAUACCGUCGUAGUCUCAACUAUAAACUAUACCAGCUAGGGAUCGGCCAACGUUAUUCUAUACCGACUUGGUCGGCACCUUAUGAGAAAUCAAAGCAUCUGGGUUCCGGGGGGAGUAUGGUCGCAAGGCUGAAACUUAAAGGAAUUGACGGAAGGGCACCACCAGCCGUGGAGCCUGUGGCUUAAUUUGACUCAACACGGGAAAACUUACCAGGUCCAGACAUAGUAAGGAUUGACAGAUUGAUAGCUCUUUCUUGAUUCUGUGGGUGGUGGUGCAUGGCCGUUCUUAGUUGGUGGAGUGAUUUGUCUGGUUAAUUCCGUUAACGAACGAGACCCCAGCCUGCUAAAUAGCGCGCGUGAGCUUUGUUCGCGGCGAGCUUCUUAGAGGGACUCUGAUGCGCGAUAGCACAUGGAAGUUUGGGGCAAUAACAGGUCUGUGAUGCCCUUAGAUGUUCUGGGCCGCACACGGGCUACACUGGCGCCUGCAACGAGCAUAUCAGCUGGCCCGAGAGGGUCUUGGCUAAUCUUUUGAACCGGCGCCGUGCUUGGGAUUGACCUUUGCAAUUGUUGGUCAUGCAACGAGGAAUGCCUUGUAAACGCGAGUCAUCAGCUCGCAUUGAAUACGUCCCUGCCCUUUGUACACACCGCCCGUCGCUCCUACCGAUGAAUGUUCCGAUGAAAUUUUCGGAGAGGGCGCCUGAGAACUUGGCUCCGCCUUGCGAACGGGAGGCUCAAAGUCACUUAAAUCUGAACAUUUCGAGG